This 28-nucleotide ribosomal RNA is filed under the name Meloidogyne fallax. RNAcentral's name for it is "partial 28S ribosomal RNA". Lineage: Eukaryota; Metazoa; Nematoda; Chromadorea; Rhabditida; Meloidogynidae. The record is from RNAcentral.
UUGACCUGAACUCAGUCGAGAUCACCCG